CAAAUAUUGAACUGAAUAUUUAUUAAAAAUAUCAUUUAAAAACUUUAAAACAUUUUAAAAUAGAAAAAGAAAAUUUUAAAAAUUCAUGAUCAUACCAAUGGACGCCUCUCCCUCAGCGGGAUAUGAUGAACCCUCACCCACCUGGCAAAUUCCUCAGGUUGAACUUCAACGAACUCUGAUUGGAAGUUUCCACCGCAAAAAUUAUUUGCUCUCUUCUUCGUUGUUAAGUUUUCUUCCCACUCAUCCAUAAAAUAUCCAUAUCUGCAAUUCUUGAAGAAGGAGAGGAAAAGCUUUCUAAUUAUGGGCCAAAGUCUUGAUUCAAUGAGCCAAAACCAAUCCAAAGGAGAGAUGCUUUAUCAGCUUCUUAAUUCUGGGAAUGUUGAUGCUAUUAAAGCUCUUUGCAGAGAAGGUGCUAAUCUUGAGUGGAUUGACAAAGAAGGGAAAACUCCUCUCAUUGUGUCUUGCAUGGAUUCUGGGCUGUUCAAUGUUGCCAAAACUUUGAUUGAAAUGGGAGCCAAUGUCAAUGCUUAUCGCCCUGGGCGUCAUGCGGGUACUGCUUUACAUCACGCAGCAAAAAGAGGCCUGGAGAAGACUGCUCUAUUACUUCUUUCCAGUGGAGCAAAUGCUCUAGUGAGAAAUGAUGAUUGUCACACUGCUUUGGAUGUUGCAAGAAUAAAGGGGCAUACCAAUGUUGUCCGUGCUAUUGAGAAUCAUAUUUGCUAUUUCUCUGGAUGGCUAUGGGAGUUUCAUGGUCCUGGCUUUCUCGAAGCAUUAGCUCCUCCAUUAUUAUCUAGAAAAAUCAUCAAUUAAAUUAGCUGACUGAGGCUCAUUGCUUGCAGCUGGGUUGUUGUUACACCUUGUGGUUCCAGUAAUCCCAUGAAGCCCCUUAGGCUGGAGCUUGCCAUUUAUUCUACUAUGCAGGUCUGUUAUUCCAAUUGUUCAAUUUGCUUCCAGCCUAAUGAUCUAGAUUUUAGAACCAAUUGUCUUUUGUGCUUGUCUGCCUUGGAGCAUUAUUAUGUAAAAUAUUUUGAAUGCUUCCAAGGUUAUAAAGUGGUUCAGUUGAAUAUUUAUUUUUAGGGUCUUUUUAGGAUAGUUAUUUGUAUAGAAAUGGCAUAGUUGACUGGUGGACCCAUCAAUUCCAAAGGAUGGCUGCAAAAAAAUACAAAAAAAAAAGUCUGUAGCAAUAGGUGUUUUUAUAUUUUUAAUCAAAUAAAUUUCUUUCAUCAAAGGACAAGGACAACGAUUUUUUAAAAAUGCAUACUUGAGCCACAACUUCAAUAGUUGUUGGGUGGAUCUAUAUAGUUCUUUUUUGCUUUCUACAGCUCCGUAUACUUGCAAAAAAAAUAGACAAAAUCCUCUUAUGGCCUACAGCAAUAUAUUCAUAGUACUUCCGCGUGGUUCUCCGGAAUUUGGAAGUGUUUUUUUAAUUCGUCUUUUAGGUGUUAAAAUCCACUAGAAUUAGUUCCCACCAAUCAAGCAGCAACGUGCAUUGACUGCCAACUAGGUGAUCCAGUCUAACAAUUUUUUUCUUGAAAGUUGUGAACAUAACCCAUAAUUUGUGCUUCAGCCUUAACAAUGUCAAAUAUUCUCUUUUACUUAUUUAUAUAUCCUGUCAUCAAUUUGUGAAUCUUUCAAGUUUAGUGUUGAUUAAUAAACAGGAUGCUCAACCUCGUACAGUCAUUGCUCUUUGGAAGGAAAAGAUUGAGGAGGCCAAAUUUCAUCAGUUGGAUCCAGGGCUCACUAUAUUUGAUAAUUCUACAAAAAAUCAAUACAAAUUUGUCUCAUCCAAUGAGGAUGACAAACAGCAGCUUCGCAAGUUGUAUGAUGCAUGCAGAGGAAUUCGUCAGAUUGUGCCUCCGCCAACUCACCAUGAUACUCAAAACGCAUUUCCGGUGAAUAGACAACAAGCAUCUGCAGAAGCUCUGGACUUGGCAAUGGCAUUAAGUGCUUCCAUUCAGUCUGCAACAAAGGAAAGGCCACCACUUAAUACUCAACAGAUUCCAGAAGCAAUUAAUGCAAAUGGCUGGGGAAAUUCUCUACAUGGUGAGAGUCACAAUGGAUGGGGCACAGCUGUUGCAUCCACACUAUCUGAGGCAAGCAGCAGUGGAUGGAUAAACAAGGGCGAAAAAGAAGACUACAAUGGAUGGGGUGUGCCUAUUUCUAGGCCACUUGGUAAUCAAGGUCAUGUAGAAAUCCAUGACAAUGCUACUACUGUUGUUCAAACAAGUGGUAUCACAAACUCAAUUCCAUCGGCUCCCCCAAUUCCAAAUGAGGUUUUAAAUGAUGGGCCAAUCCACUAUCCAAUAGUUGAUUUUAGUCCAGUGGAUUCAUUUGUUCCACCUGUAGAGCAUGGAACUUCUGUAACAAGUGAUGUGAAGGAUGGAGCUGGCUCUUCAUCAUGUAUAAUAUGUUGGGAAUCUCCCAUAGAAGGUGCAUGCAUUCCUUGUGGUCACAUGGCUGGUUGCAUGGCUUGUUUGAGCGAGAUCAAAGCCAAGAAAGGUGUUUGCCCUGUUUGCAGAGCAAAAAUAAGCCAAGUUAUAAGGCUAUAUGCUGUCUGAAAAGUGGACAUGAUUAUACUGGAUCUGUGAUUGGAUUAUGAACAUUUUUUUUGCUUAAAUUUUUUCACUUAUGAACUUGUGUUAUAUGUAUAUUGUUUAUGUUUGUGUUGAUUACUGAACAUUUCUUAAAGAACUGAAUACAACAUAAAUGUUCACAAGAGCUUGUCAAAAUGGCAGUUGCUUA
This 2742-nucleotide unclassified non-coding RNA is filed under the name Hevea brasiliensis (rubber tree). Lineage: Eukaryota; Viridiplantae; Streptophyta; Magnoliopsida; Malpighiales; Euphorbiaceae. The record is from RNAcentral.